AUUGAACGCUGGCGGCAUGCCUUACACAUGCAAGUCGAACGGCAGCACGGAGCUUGCUCUGGUGGCGAGUGGCGAACGGGUGAGUAAUAUAUCGGAACGUACCCUAGAGUGGGGGAUAACGUAGCGAAAGUUACGCUAAUACCGCAUACGAUCUAAGGAUGAAAGUGGGGGAUCGCAAGACCUCAUGCUCGUGGAGCGGCCGAUAUCUGAUUAGCUAGUUGGUAGGGUAAAAGCCUACCAAGGCAUCGAUCAGUAGCUGGUCUGAGAGGACGACAGCCACACUGGAACUGAGACACGGUCCAGACUCCUACGGGAGGCAGCAGUGGGGAAUUUUGGACAAUGGGCGAAAGCCUGAUCCAGCAAUGCCGCGUGAGUGAAGAAGGCCUUCGGGUUGUAAAGCUCUUUUGUCAGGGAAGAGACGGUGAAAGCUAAUAUCUUUUGCUAAUGACGGUACCUGAAGAAUAAGCACCGGCUAACUACGUGCCAGCAGCCGCGGUAAUACGUAGGGUGCAAGCGUUAAUCGGAAUUACUGGGCGUAAAGCGUGCGCAGGCGGUUUUGUAAGUCUGAUGUGAAAUCCCCGGGCUCAACCUGGGAAUUGCAUUGGAGACUGCAAGGCUAGAAUCUGGCAGAGGGGGGUAGAAUUCCACGUGUAGCAGUGAAAUGCGUAGAUAUGUGGAGGAACACCGAUGGCGAAGGCAGCCCCCUGGGUCAAGAUUGACGCUCAUGCACGAAAGCGUGGGGAGCAAACAGGAUUAGAUACCCUGGUAGUCCACGCCCUAAACGAUGUCUACUAGUUGUCGGGUCUUAAUUGACUUGGUAACGCAGCUAACGCGUGAAGUAGACCGCCUGGGGAGUACGGUCGCAAGAUUAAAACUCAAAGGAAUUGACGGGGACCCGCACAAGCGGUGGAUGAUGUGGAUUAAUUCGAUGCAACGCGAAAAACCUUACCUACCCUUGACAUGGCUGGAAUCCUUGAGAGAUCAGGGAGUGCUCGAAAGAGAACCAGUACACAGGUGCUGCAUGGCUGUCGUCAGCUCGUGUCGUGAGAUGUUGGGUUAAGUCCCGCAACGAGCGCAACCCUUGUCAUUAGUUGCUACGAAAGGGCACUCUAAUGAGACUGCCGGUGACAAACCGGAGGAAGGUGGGGAUGACGUCAAGUCCUCAUGGCCCUUAUGGGUAGGGCUUCACACGUCAUACAAUGGUACAUACAGAGCGCCGCCAACCCGCGAGGGGGAGCUAAUCGCAGAAAGUGUAUCGUAGUCCGGAUUGUAGUCUGCAACUCGACUGCAUGAAGUUGGAAUCGCUGGUAAUCGCGGAUCAGCAUGUCGCGGUGAAUACGUUCCCGGGUCU
RNAcentral lists this ribosomal RNA (1351 nucleotides) under uncultured bacterium. RNAcentral's name for it is "bacterial SSU rRNA". It matches the Rfam family "Bacterial small subunit ribosomal RNA", at positions 28 to 1381 of the family's 1533-position model. The record is from RNAcentral.